UUCUGUGAAAAGAACAAACUAGUAAUUCAUUCUAUGAACACUGAAUGAAACCUCUACAACUUUUUAUUCCCUACAUCCUUUUCUGACAGGGGACAGAAAAUCAAAAACAAAAAACAAUACAAAACAAUAAAACCCCCAAACCAAAACAACAAUAAAUGAAUAGGUCCUUUACUAAAAGCACGGGUACUUAAGAAGCAUAUGAUAAAAUAGAGCUGAAUAGUUCAAUUAAGGAGAAUAGUCUCUAGUCAAAGAAUGUUCUGGAAAACUGCAUUUUCCAUCUGAGUAGCAAAAGCCCACAUCCAGCUACUGAACAAUUUCAAUGCAGCUGAUGUUACUGAUAAAGACUCCUUCUUUCCACCGUUCAUUGAAGAUAGGUUCUGAUCUCUGAUGUAUUUUUUUUGGCAUCUUUUCCAUUUAUCAAUUAUGUGUAAUUGUGUGGGUUUAUGUAUGGGUCCUCUGUUCUGUCUAUAUAGAUUGACGUGUACAUUUUUGUGUACAUGCUGUUUUUUUAUAACCAUCGCUCUCAACUAGCUUGAAAUGAGGCAUGGCGAUACCACCCACAGAAUUUUCCCCCUCAGAUUAUUUUUCCAUCAGAAAGGUGUUUGGUUUGUUUUCUUUGUUGUUGUUGUUGUUGUUUUGUUUUUCUUUUUUUUACUUAUGCCUGUGAAGAAAGGCAUUUGAUAUUUUGAAGCCAGAACACACGAAAUUCAGGAAAUUAGCAAAGGGCCAGUGAGAGGGAACAUGCAUUUAUAGAGGGUGGAUUAAAGAUUAGAGGUGACGUAAAGCAGAGAAGGAGAACACCAGGAGCAGAAAGAUUGAGGCCGGUUGUGCCAUGAGGGGAAUGGGAAAUGAGGGGCAGGGAAAGGGUGGGAACACAAAUGAAGUGUGUAUGAACAAGCCAUGAGGGGACCUAUGAUUUUAUAGAAAGUAAAAAAUACAAUGAAUAGGGACAGGACAAUACACGUGGCAGGAAAAAAAACACAUGGUGCAGGAAAGCUAGGAGUUGGAGGUCUGAGUGGGGAGGAGGAUAAGGGCAAGGUGAGCAAAUAAAGAUAGGGCACGGACUAGCCAAAACUGACGAUGUGUGAAGAAGCCACAUGAAACUAAACUAGUUUUUAAACAACUUAACACUUUGAAACAAACAAAAACCAACCAACCAACCAAAACCCAGGAGUUUGGGCAGAGAUAUCCCAUAUGGAUGGACAGUACAGCUCCCCAAAGACGCAGGUUAUUAAAUGAAAAUCACAGUGCCAAGCAUGGGGUACCUUCCUAGAAGUCAUUGAUUGAGAAUAUCCCCAAAUACUCAAAACAAGGCAGGCUAUUGCCAUCUCUUCUGGUUACCCUUCCUAACUGGAUAGUAAGACCUUGUUAUGAAAGUCAUUGCACACUAUGGGUAAAUGAAAGAAAUUAACCUUGAAUUUACCAGGAAGCUCAUUCCUCUUUCUCUUUCUGUCUGUCUCUGUCUGUCUCUCUCUCUCUCUCUCUAUAUAUAUAUAUAUAUAUAGAGAGAGAGAGAGAGAGAGAUAUGCAUAUAUAUAUAUAUAUAUAUAUAUAUAUAUAUAUACAUUCUCUUUACAUCAAAAUCUAUUCUAAAUAUUUAUGCUUUAUAACCCCCGAUUUGUGCCAUUCUCAGCCUUGGUCAGGGAAGAUUCUAAUUACAGAGAAUGUAGUUAAUAUAAUAAUUGUUCAAAAUUCGGAAAAUAAAUGCUGUGAAUCCUCAACUCUAGAUGGAACAUCUAAAUCAACCCCUUGUCUUGCCGAUCGCUCCCGAAAAAUGGAGCAGAAAACAUAUAAGAACCAGAUGGUGGGGAAAUGGGACAAAAGGCUGGCUUCAACAAUUCUACUGCUCUUCUACAUGUGGAGCCACAGCAGUUAUGGUUACCAGCACAAAACUUCUACAAGAGUAAGAGUUAAAAAUUACAGCAAAGGCUUGGGAGAGGCUCCCAAGGCCCCACUCCUGUUUGAAAAGCUAUUGGCAGUUGAUGACUACUGGAGGACUAUUGUAUGUCAAGCUUUCACCAGUUAGAAAACACUAUGUCUACUCACCCCAAAUAAGGAAGUCACAACAGACCGAAGUAUGGAUACCACCAAAGUCCAACUUGAUAAACCAAUGAUAAUUGGUAACUCCCCCAGUGUGAGAGCUAAGAUGGGUUAUUUUUUGCUGUGUCUGAGAACAACUGAUAGAAACAAACAGGUUGGGGAUAAAAUUAUCUUCCAAAUCAGGAUGGAAUUUUAGCUAUGCUAUAUACAAACAUUAAAUUUUGAGCAACUCCAUAGCUUUCCUCCAUAAGCUGAAUUAGAAAAUCUUUGAAUCAAGACACCUAUUAUUGUGUAAGUUUAUUCCUAGACAUGCCGUAGAUAGUUACACAAUAGAAGUUUAAAAAAAAAUCUAAAUGAGAGUCUUCUCUUUGUUAGAAUUGUGACAAAACAAAACAAAAAGCUGUUAAAUUUUAAAUAAACAAAUAGCUCCUUUAGUAUGAGUAUACCCGAAAUAUUGUACAAAAAACUUGUAAAUAUAUCUACUGUUUAUCUGUCUGUGAGGCUUAAGCUCUAUUUGCAAACAUCUAACAUUCUGCCUUUAAAAGAACCCCAGAUUAACUGUGCAUUGGAGUUCGGAACCACCAGAACAUCAAGUAAUAGACUGCCGAGGAUUCUAGAAGAUCCUUGUUUGAUCCUCCCGAGAAGCCUCUCUCUAAGUAAUAUUUGGAACUCUCUUCCCUCGAAGAAAACAAAACAGGAACCUAACAUGGCUUCCCUCCGAAAGGCCCAACAAACAGCUGACUGAGACAUAAGGAGAUACAACCAACCAAUGGACUGAAGUCAGGAACCUCUGAACCUUCCAAAGUUGUUUCUUUCAGGUUUCAGGAAACAAAUUAGAGUCAUCCUGAAAGGAGAGUCAUGCCUUUUUCCUGCUGAGGCUGCCCAAGUCAUCCAGUAUUUCCAUUAAUCCUUGGAUUAUCUAGGGAAUCCUGACCUUUGUUUUCCCUCACCCCUGUGCCUCACCCUGCCCUAGGGCACUAGAUGGAGCUCUAUGGAAGCAGUUCUCAGAGCUUGUGGAGGAUGGGAAAAAAGUAGCCAAGGAUUCGGGAUCUAAAUUUCAUAACUGGAACUGGACAUUGAACCCACUGAUGGAUGGUCUAUUUCUACCUCUCAAUGUCAUCCAAGGAGCUGGACCAUAAGGAUCGUCUAUAGUGUGUGAUGUAUCAGAGAGAGAAAAGCUCUCUGAUAAGAAAGCUCUGAAGUUCGUAUAAGAGAACAAAGAUGACAUUUCAUUUCUGCUUUGGACAGCUGAAUACACUUGGACAAAGUCUUUCCGUAUGGCCAGAGUCAUUCUCUAUGGAGAGGCAAUGGAAUAAUUUGAACAGCUUGCCUAGCAAGUAGAUGGAAAGAAACAGAAGGUUCUCACCGUGGAAAAUGUUGAUAAGAAGAAUGGUCAGGUUCAUGUCUCUGUUGCCCAUCCUAACUGAAUGAUCUCUUUAGUAUCUACUUUAAUAUUCAUUCUAAAUAAAGCCUCAAUGGUGUUAUCACAUAU
This 3532-nucleotide long non-coding RNA is filed under the name Mus musculus (house mouse). RNAcentral describes it as "predicted gene, 30159". Lineage: Eukaryota; Metazoa; Chordata; Mammalia; Rodentia; Muridae. The record is from RNAcentral.